GACGAACGCUGGCGGCGUGCCUAAUACAUGCAAGUCGAGCGAGCUUGCCUAGAUGAUUUUAGUGCUUGCACUAAAUGAAACUAGAUACAAGCGAGCGGCGGACGGGUGAGUAACACGUGGGUAACCUGCCCAAGAGACUGGGAUAACACCUGGAAACAGAUGCUAAUACCGGAUAACAACACUAGACGCAUGUCUAGAGUUUGAAAGAUGGUUCUGCUAUCGCUCUGAGAUGGCCUCGCGUCUGAUUAGCUAGUUGGCGGGGUAACGGCCCACCAAGGCGACGAUCAGUAGCCGGACUGAGAGGUUGGCCGGCCACAUUGGGACUGAGACACGGCCCAG
This 339-nucleotide ribosomal RNA is filed under the name uncultured bacterium. RNAcentral's name for it is "bacterial SSU rRNA". It matches the Rfam family "Bacterial small subunit ribosomal RNA", at positions 28 to 334 of the family's 1533-position model. The record is from RNAcentral.